Molecule: RNA transcript, 3297 nt
Organism: Macadamia integrifolia
Lineage: Eukaryota; Viridiplantae; Streptophyta; Magnoliopsida; Proteales; Proteaceae
Gene name: MACPF domain-containing protein CAD1-like
Exons: 8
Source: RefSeq, a predicted model, not a curated record
ACACAGGUAUUAUAGAUUUAGAAAAGUGUAUUAUUGAAGCAGUAGAGAGACCAGAGACUUGAGACUAGUAAACGGCAAAAGGAAGGGAAAGAGGAGGUGGAAAAAGAAAUCGGAGAUUCAAAAUCCGGAAAAGAUGGAGCCUGAAAGACUUGGAUCGGCUGCUGAUGAAUGAUUCUUAUGCUUUUUGCGGAGUUUUGAGUGUUUCUGGGGUUUUUGUUUGUCACUGAAGUCAAGGGGAAGGAAAGAAAUUUGGAUGGUACGAUUUGGUGAACGGUUUUUUGGGGCUUCGGUCAUCCAUCUUAUCUGCAACUCCAUUGGUGGAGAAAAAGAGGAAUAGAGGUUUUCCUUGUUUACUCUAUUUGUUUUUUAAUAUUUUUUGAUAGGUACGCAAACAUUCGUGUUAGUUUCGAUCUGGGUAUGCUUCUAGGAAUAUAAAGAUCCAAUUUUUAAUUCGUUUCCGUGUUUUUUCGAGGAACCCAGAUGAGAAAUUUCACUUCGAUAUUUUGUGGUUGCUGCUGAGGUUAUUUUUCGAAAAAUCGAAAAUGGGUAUUUGGGACUUGGGUUCUGCUUUAAGCUGGAGUGGGAAUGGAAGGCGUGAAGAUAUUCCUAGUUUUGUCUAAUUUCAUCUUUGGCUUGGGUUUUUUGGUUUUGAGGUGAUGAGGAUGGAGGAGAAUGCAGCGGCCUUCCAUACUGUUUUGAGUUCCAUACAGGCUUUAGGUAGGGGUUUUGAUGUGAAUUUCGACACCAGAUUGCUUUACUGCAAAGGGGUUGCAGGUUCAACUGUAGUUGAGGUGGAUGAAGAACACCAAAGGGAUCUGUUAGUGUAUGAUGAUCUGGUUCUGCCUAAUGUUUCUAGAGACAUUAGGUGCUCUCAGGAAGCCAUUGACCGUCGGAGUUCGGGAGUUUGCAGCUUCGACGAGAUGGUGGAAUAUUUUAAUAAAAGGGCUCUUCUUUCUGGAAAUAUACCCAUUGGGAGCUUUAAUUCUGUAUUCAGCUUUACUGGUUCAAAGCAGAUUGAUGCUGCUUCUACAAAAAGCCUCGCUAUGGAUGGAUUAUUCAUCCCUCUUUGCAAGGUCCAGCUCAUAAAGUCCCCAUUAGUGUUGCAGGGAAACGUCAAGCGGGCAGUGCCAUCUUCAUGGGACCCAUCAGCAUUGGCAAGAUUCAUCGAAAACUAUGGGACACAUAUUAUUACAUCUAUAACUAUUGGUGGCAAGGAUGUAAUUUACGUCAAGCAGCAUCAGUCCUCACCUUUGUCAACCAUGGAGAUAAAAAAAUAUGUUAAGGAUAUUGGAGAUCAAAGGUUCUCUGAUUCUGAAAGCCAUACGAGUUCAGGUCCAAUGAAAAUCAAGGAUAAGGCUGCGGACACAUCUUUAUUCAAUGGCCAAGGGAUAUACCCUCAACCCCCUAGUGCUCCUUACCUUUCUGGAAAAGAAGAUGUUUCUGUCAUUUUUAGGCGGAGGGGAGGAGAUGAUUUAGUCCAAAACCACACCCAGUGGGCAAAAACUGUCUGUUCUUCUCCUGAUGUAAUCGAGAUGACCUUCCUUCCAAUCACAGCGCCCCUUGAAGGGGUAUCUGGAAAAGACUAUCUAGCUCGCGCUAUUGGCCUCUAUCUUGAAUACAAGCCUCCAAUUGAAGAGCUGCGAUAUUUCCUCGAGUUUCAGAUCCCUCGGAUUUGGGCCCCAGUGCAGGACAAUCUUCCUGGUCACCAAAGAAAGGAGCCUGUUUGUCCUUCUCUGCAGUUCAGUCUAAUGGGGCAAAAGCUUUAUGUUAGCCAAGAACAGGUAUCAGUAGGCCGUAAACCUGUAACAGGCUUGAGAUUGUUCUUAGAAGGAGGCAAGCAGAACCGGCUAAGUAUUCAGCUUCAGCACUUUGCAUCGCUUCCAAAGAUCCUUCAACCAUACUGGGACACUCAUGUGGCAAUUGGUGCACCCAAGUGGUUGGGACCUGAGGAGCAAGAUAGCCGAUGGUUUGAACCAGUGAAGUGGAAGAACUUCUCACACGUUAGCACCGCUCCCAUAGAGAGUAAUGAGAGCUUUACUAGUGACAUCUCUGGUGUGUUCAUAGUCACCGGUGCUCAGCUUGGAGUGUGGGAUUUUGGGACUAGGAAUGUCCUGCAUAUGAAGCUUUUGUAUUCUAGAAUACCUGGUUGCACCAUCAGGAGAUCAUUCUGGGACCAUACCCCAACUAUUCUAAAUGACAAGUCAAAGAAGCCAGUUGCCGAAAGUACAACCAACUCUGUUGACUUGAGCUCCAGUUCAAGGUUAGCAGGAAACAAGUUGGCAAAAUAUGUCGAUACGUCUGAGAUGAGUAAGGGACCCCAGGAUUCCCCAGGUCAUUGGUUGGUUACUGGUGGAAAGCUUGGAGUUGAAAAGGGGAAGAUUGUUUUGAGGCUGAAAUACUCGCUGCUGAAUUACUGAGUUAUCGAGAUCUUAUGUAGUAUGCAUGGCCUAGAUGGAGGAUUGUGUUCCAUGGAUAUGGUUUUUGUAUGUAUAUUGUCCCAGCUUCAUGGGGUGAAUUGAAUGAAUCGAUAUCUGAUCUUUGGUCAGUCUUCUUGGUCUAUUUCAUCUGAUGAACCAUUAAUAUCAGGUCAAGGCUUUGCAAUGGCUUGGGACAGGUGCCUUGCAGAACUUUUGGAAGGCUUGGUAGGGUGAAGGUGAACAGCUAUGAUCUUCAGUCUAAUUCUACUCUCCUUUGUAGAUAUGUUGGAGGAUCCAGAGUGGCUAACUGGGGAUAAUAUGUGAAGGAUGAUACUCAAGACUCGAGUGGGUCUUGUUAGUGCCUUGUAUUGAAGUUGUUCCCAUCUAGACUUGUCACUGAUCUAAGGUUGCACCGAAUUUAAAAUCAAAUGCAGAGUUGCUCUGUUGAAUUAACUUGGGACAAGACUUUAGAGGGCUUUGCGAGGUGCUUUGCCAUGUUAAGGACCUGACCUGAUGGAAUUUUUGGAUCGCCGGUGUUUCCCAUUGCUCAGUUUAGUGUAAUGCAGCUCAAUUUUAAGUUGACUCUUCAGAUCAUGCUCAAGGUUGCUUAUUCUGUUAAAAUUUCCAGAAAACAUUGGUAGUAGCCUGGUGCUAGUCCUGUUUUUGCGACGACAACAUGCAGUUUAUGUUGGCAGCCCUAGCUUCUUAUCUAAUUGAGGGACUUUAUAAAUGCAAUAGUGUUGGGGAAUAUAGAAUAGAGACAUUUCUGGAUGCGUUUGUUUCCUUGUCCAAUUCGUGUGUGGGAGGGCAUAUGUGCUCUGUGGGUUUGGCCUGGGGGCUUAUGAAUUUAAGCUUGAAUGAGUGCUGUGGCUUUUUUGCA